AUGGUUGUGUAUGAGUUGCUGUCAGGUUGUAGGCCUGCGUUGGGCCAGCACCAGCUCCAGAUAGCUAAGAAGCUGUCUAAAGGGAUCCGUCCCACCCUGGGAAACCCAGAGGAAGUCCAGUUCCACUGUCUGCAUGGCCUGAUGAUUGAGUGCUGGGACACUAAGCCUGAGAAGGCCCUGGCCAUGCAGUGUGUGAGGCAGAUGCAGGAGCCCAGUUUCCCAUGUCUGAAGUACCUGCUGGCCUGUGACACACUCCCAGCUCUUCCUGUCCCACUUGCAGGGACACAGCGCUGUGUUCUGGGACGGGGACAAGGACGACAGGAACUACAGUGUGGUGAACGUAGAGACGGGUCAGGUAGAGGUGAAGAGGAUGCCGUGUCCAGGAACCAGGCUGAGCUGUCAGAUGAAGAUGGAUAACACCUUAUGGACCGCCACAGAGGAGCAGGAAGUGUUCAUCUACAGUCUAAAGGAGAUGUGUCCACUGAGCCAGCCCCAGAAACAGAUCUCCUGUCCUGCUAUAGUCACCUGUCUGUUCCCCGUGCCCGCCAUAGACCAGACCCAGGCGUGUGUCUUCAUGGGGAUGUCAGACGGUCUGGUGGCAGUGUACUCCCUAAUGGAUGACAUGCCUGUAGAAGGAGAGACCUACCUGUGUUCUCACACCCUCAAUAUGACCAUGUUUGGGAUGGAGGACUCUGACCCCAGACAGAGACCCUACCCAGUCAGGAGCAUGGUCCUGGUCCACAGUGGAUCCCAGCUGUGGUACUCCCAUGGUCCAGGCCUGCUGGUGAUCGACUGCCGGACCCUCCAGGCGGUGCAUCGUCUGGACCCCUACGACCCACCAUCCUCUAUACAGGCCCUGGCCUCCAGCCCCUGUCUGUGGGGGGAUGAGGCGGUGUGGACCCUGGACGACCACACAAACACCCUGCAGCUGUACCACGCUGCCACCUACCAGCUCUGUGCCACGUACAGCUGUGGAGACGCCAACCCUCUCCGGGACGUGUUCACUGUACAGCGACCUGCAGGGGUUACCAUGGCUACUAGUCCUGACCUUGACUCAAAGAGGAAGAGUCUAGAUGAGGAGGAGGAGGAAUGUCCAAACGACAAAGUGACGCUGAUCUACAGCGAGGAGGCGGGAACUCAGAUCAUCCAGCACCAGGAUUCGCUGACGGACUACUGCGCCAUCUCCUCUGACUCCACCCCUCCGCUGGGAUUUGACCGAUCCGGCCCCUUGUCAGAGCCGCUGGGAUUGGACAGAACCAGUUCCUGCGCGCUCAGCUCAUUGGCUAGUUCCAGCAGUAUGCCUUUUUCCACUGAGGAGGAAGAGAGGCCUCAGGACCACCCAGACGACCCUGACCCUGUGGUGAACUCUGACCCCACCACAACCUUUACCACCACUCCCCCCCACCUGCAGGCCCUCACUGUGCUGGCUGUCAAUGGAACCCUUUGGAUCCCCAGGAGUGGUGGUGACGUGAUGGUGAUCGAGGUCCAGCGGCAGACAGGACAGCUCAGGGGGCGUGUCAUCGCUGUGCUCUGCCCCCCUGGAACUUCCUCUUACGGGACCCUGGAGGAGGCCGCACUGGUGGCAAAGGACACGGUUGUGUGUGGCUUUCGCAAUGAAAAUAGGGCCUGGUGCCUGUGUGUCUGGCGGGGCUGGGGCCCCGUGAGCUAGAGGUCUUCUACCAGUCCUACGAGGAGCUGGGGAGGCUGGAGACCAGCAUGAGGAAAAGAAGGUAGCCGUUGUACAGCACCGGCCGUGGUGUCCCAGGCAGAGGCUAGCAGUCACAGAAUCAUAGCUCUCUGUCUGUCUCUGUGUGUGUGUGAGAGAGAGAGAGCGAGAAAAUUCACAGGCCCCCAGUGUUCAGAGCAGGGGGCCGCGGAGCUAUGACAUCAGAGUGACAAGGAGGGGUGAGGGAGAUGGUGAAGCAAAAGAGAGGACAGGAGAGAUUGGUAUAUGUUGAGAGGAGACUCAGGAAUGGGGGGGGGGUGCCUCAUCCUGUCAUAGCUUGGGCCCAAACCCCCUGUGUGCCCCCAACACACCCCACACUUCCCCCUCUGGAGCAUCACUAAGAUGGAUUGACUACCAGUUAAACCUGAGCCUGAAGAUAGAAGGGACUAGGGUUGCAAUUUUCCGGUAACUACCAAAAAUGACAGGUUUUCAAGAAAUCCAGAAUCUACCAACCAGGAUUUGUGGAAAACCUGGGGAUUUUGGGAAGGUUCCUGGAGUUGUGCAACCAUAAAACAGAUGGUAGGACAAAACGGGCCGUAAAGACACGUGUCCCAGAUCUACUGAACACAGAGUCUCCUCACUUCACAGGACAGUGGAACGUAACACUCAACUGGGUUGUGUGUGUGAGAUAUAUGAGUAAACAACACCGUGAGCAGUUCCGUUUCCUCAUAUGCCAUCUCCCAACAGACUAAGGACACAGCAGAAAGGACUUACCCCUGCCCUGCAGUAUAGAGACUGGGACUGUCUCUAAACCAAUGACACUCUCCUAUACCAAUCUCUCACACUAGCUCAGAUAGACAUUAGAUGAAGGGUUCAUUAGAUUUUAAACAUGUUCUGCUGCUGGGCUAAACUCUGACUUGUGCAUUUAACAAGUAACAAAACUGUAGACAGAAGUCAGGGUUAACUAUGUGUAGGAGUUUGCCCUUCGGUUUGAUGUCCGUCAGUUUUACUUCAAGUGUUGGUGCUUGAAGUUGCCAGUACUAUAUUGUGUAUUGAGUCUGCACCCCAAAUGGCACCCUAUUCCCUACAUAGUGCACUAUGGGCCCUGGUCAAAAGUAGUGCACUGAGUAGGGUUCCAUUUGGGACAUCCAGUGUGUUGAUACCAACAUGGGAGGGUUUGCUAACUUCACUGCUGUGUCAGUGAGAUGGUGUUCAUUUCUGGUGUAAUAUGUUCAAAUCCUCUUCAGUGUAAAUAUACUGUACGACCAUGAAUAAACUUCUUCUCAUA
RNA transcript from Oncorhynchus gorbuscha (pink salmon), 2954 nucleotides. It is a transcript of the gene named leucine-rich repeat serine/threonine-protein kinase 1-like, with no coding region annotated. The record is from RefSeq and is a predicted model, not a curated record. The transcript is spliced from 9 exons. NCBI's taxonomy places the organism in Eukaryota, Metazoa, Chordata, Actinopteri, Salmoniformes, Salmonidae.